Molecule: ribosomal RNA, 441 nt
Filed under: bacterium
Lineage: Bacteria
Description: bacterial SSU rRNA
Rfam family: Bacterial small subunit ribosomal RNA
Source: RNAcentral
GACGAAGGCCUUCGGGUCGUAAAACUCUGUUAUCAGGGAAGAACAAGCAUCGUUUAACUGACGGUGCCAUGACGGUACCUGACCAGAAAGCCACGGCUAACUACGUGCCAGCAGCCGCGGUAAUACGUAGGUGGCAAGCGUUGUCCGGAAUUAUUGGGCGUAAAGCGCGCGCAGGCGGCUUCUUAAGUCUGAUGUGAAAGCCCACGGCUCAACCGUGGAGGGUCAUUGGAAACUGGGAGGCUUGAGUGCAGAAGAGGAGAGCGGAAUUCCACGUGUAGCGGUGAAAUGCGUAGAGAUGUGGAGGAACACCAGUGGCGAAGGCGGCUCUCUGGUCUGUAACUGACGCUGAGGCGCGAAAGCGUGGGUAGCGAACAGGAUUAGAUACCCUGGUAGUCCACGCCGUAAACGAUGAGUGCUAAGUGUUAGGGGGUUUCCGCCCCU